GCUAUCACAUUCUGAGGACGGCA
Molecule: unclassified non-coding RNA, 23 nt
Filed under: Human gammaherpesvirus 8
Lineage: Duplodnaviria; Heunggongvirae; Peploviricota; Herviviricetes; Herpesvirales; Orthoherpesviridae
Description: miR-K3
Source: RNAcentral